GACAUAAGUUGCCGGAAUUGAUCCUUUCGUAAGACACUUAUAGAAGCCUUUGCACUCCAUAUAGGACAGGUUCCACGACUAUAAAUAUAGGUUCCGCUGCAAGUCAAACUUGUGUUUGGCAACACAACUAAAUUACGGGAAUGACCAAGACAAGUUUCUAGGUCAAUCCGAAGCGCUUUACGGCGUUCACAGACUAAAUGGUUGUGGGUUUAAUCAUUGUAUUAAGCUUAAGAUAUAGCCGGGCUACGUGCGCGAGCACGCGGAAUUCGCUAUCUGAAAUGCCCGCUCAUUCUAGCGAAAUCAAACUGUUCCGUAGGUGAACCUGCGGAAGGAUCAUU
Molecule: ribosomal RNA, 338 nt
Filed under: Therrya eucalypti
Lineage: Eukaryota; Fungi; Ascomycota; Leotiomycetes; Rhytismatales; Rhytismataceae
Description: partial 18S ribosomal RNA
Rfam family: Group I catalytic intron (bases 73-262)
About the family: Group I catalytic introns are large self-splicing ribozymes. They catalyse their own excision from mRNA, tRNA and rRNA precursors in a wide range of organisms.
Source: RNAcentral